This 81-nucleotide transfer RNA is filed under the name Muribaculaceae bacterium. RNAcentral's name for it is "tRNA-OTHER". It matches the Rfam family "tRNA", at positions 9 to 71 of the family's 71-position model. Rfam says of the family: Transfer RNA (tRNA) molecules are approximately 80 nucleotides in length. Their secondary structure includes four short double-helical elements and three loops (D, anti-codon, and T loops). Further hydrogen bonds mediate the characteristic L-shaped molecular structure. tRNAs have two regions of fundamental functional importance: the anti-codon, which is responsible for specific mRNA codon recognition, and the 3' end, to which the tRNAs corresponding amino acid is attached (by aminoacyl-tRNA synthetases). tRNAs cope with the degeneracy of the genetic code in two manners: having more than one tRNA (with a specific anti-codon) for a particular amino acid; and 'wobble' base-pairing, i.e. permitting non-standard base-pairing at the 3rd anti-codon position. The record is from RNAcentral. Lineage: Bacteria; Pseudomonadati; Bacteroidota; Bacteroidia; Bacteroidales; Muribaculaceae.
AGCUCAGUUGGUAGAGCAAAUGCCUCACCGUGUCUAUUAAUUGGCAUUGGGUCGUGGGUUCGAGCCCCACCGGGAUCACCA